RNAcentral lists this ribosomal RNA (274 nucleotides) under uncultured bacterium. RNAcentral's name for it is "partial 16S ribosomal RNA". It matches the Rfam family "Bacterial small subunit ribosomal RNA", at positions 523 to 796 of the family's 1533-position model. The record is from RNAcentral.
ACACGGAGGGUGCAAACGUUGUUCGGAAUCACUGGGCGUAAAGGGCGCGCAGGCGGUUUGAUUAGUCAGAUGUGAAAGCCCACGGCUUAACCGUGGAAGUGCAUUUGAAACUGUCAGACUUGAGUACCAGAGGGGGUAGUGGAAUUCCCGGUGUAGAGGUGAAAUUCGUAGAUAUCGGGAGGAAUACCGGUGGCGAAGGCGACUACCUGGCUGGAUACUGACGCUGAGGCGCGAAAGCGUGGGGAGCAAACAGGAUUAGAAACCCCGGUAGUCC